AUUGAACGCUGGCGGAAUGCUUUACACAUGCAAGUUGAACGGCAGCACGGGGGCAACCCUGGUGGCGAGUGGCGAACGGGUGAGUAAUACAUCGGAACGUGCCCAGUCGUGGGGGAUAACGUAGCGAAAGCUACGCUAAUACCGCAUACGAACUCUGGUUGAAAGCGGGGGAUCGCAAGACCUCGCGCGAUUGGAGCGGCCGAUGGCAGAUUAGGUAGUUGGUGGGGUAAAGGCUCACCAAGCCGACGAUCUGUAGCUGGUCUGAGAGGACGACCAGCCACACUGGGACUGAGACACGGCCCAGACUCCUACGGGAGGCAGCAGUGGGGAAUUUUGGACAAUGGGCGAAAGCCUGAUCCAGCCAUUCCGCGUGCAGGAUGAAGGCCCUCGGGUUGUAAACUGCUUUUGUACGGAACGAAAC
Molecule: ribosomal RNA, 421 nt
Filed under: uncultured bacterium
Lineage: Bacteria
Description: bacterial SSU rRNA
Rfam family: Bacterial small subunit ribosomal RNA
Source: RNAcentral